GGGGGUGACAUUGGCUUCGACGGGGUUAUAAGUUCUUUGAACUGCACACCGUGUUCUCCGUAGACACGUUAAACGACGGUAAAAAAAGUAAAUGGCGAAUAUAAUUACGCUCUCGCUGCGUAAAUAAACGCAGCCGUUCUUCAAUUCUACUCACGCUGGGGGUUGAAAGAACGUCGCACAGUGUGAUAGCCGAAUCGAAUGUCCGGAUAGAUGAGGCGAAACUUUCUCCGGAAUAGUUCCGGCAUAAUCUGUUUGCCGAUGCUGUCGGAAUGAAAUUAAAAGACAAACUAUGUGUGUAGAAGUUCCUGGAAAUGUAGCUUCGGACCCGGGUUCGACUCCCGGCACCUCCACCA
Molecule: transfer-messenger RNA, 353 nt
Filed under: Ignavibacteria bacterium
Lineage: Bacteria; Pseudomonadati; Ignavibacteriota; Ignavibacteria
Rfam family: transfer-messenger RNA
About the family: Bacterial tmRNA, also known as 10Sa RNA or SsrA, is named for its dual tRNA and mRNA-like properties. Its role is to liberate the mRNA from a stalled ribosome. To accomplish this part of the tmRNA is used as a reading frame that ends in a translation stop signal.
Source: RNAcentral